RNAcentral lists this ribosomal RNA (557 nucleotides) under uncultured Devosia sp. Its description in RNAcentral is "bacterial SSU rRNA". It matches the Rfam family "Bacterial small subunit ribosomal RNA", at positions 102 to 694 of the family's 1533-position model. The record is from RNAcentral. Lineage: Bacteria; Pseudomonadati; Pseudomonadota; Alphaproteobacteria; Hyphomicrobiales; Devosiaceae.
ACGGGUGAGUAACGCGUGGGAAUCUACCUAGUUCUACGGAACAACAGAGGGAAACUUCUGCUAAUACCGUAUACGCCCUAAGGGGGAAAGAUUUAUCGGAAUUAGAUGAGCCCGCGUAAGAUUAGCUAGUUGGUGGGGUAAUGGCCUACCAAGGCGACGAUCUUUAGCUGGUCUGAGAGGAUGAUCAGCCACACUGGGACUGAGACGCGGCCCAGACUCCUACGGGAGGCAGCAGUGGGGAAUAUUGGACAAUGGGCGCAAGCCUGAUCCAGCCAUGCCGCGUGAGUGAUGAAGGCCUUAGGGUUGUAAAGCUCUUUCAGUGGGGAAGAUAAUGACGGUACCCACAGAAGAAGCCCCGGCUAACUUCGUGCCAGCAGCCGCGGUAAUACGAAGGGGGCUAGCGUUGUUCGGAUUUACUGGGCGUAAAGCGCACGUAGGCGGAUUGGUCAGUUAGGGGUGAAAUCCUGGAGCUCAACUCCAGAACUGCCUUUAAUACUGCCAGUCUCGAGUCCGGAAGAGGUAAGUGGAACUCCUAGUGUAGAGGUGGAAUUCGUAGA